RNAcentral lists this long non-coding RNA (431 nucleotides) under Malus domestica (apple). RNAcentral describes it as "long non-coding RNA (MDOM_LNC016478)". Lineage: Eukaryota; Viridiplantae; Streptophyta; Magnoliopsida; Rosales; Rosaceae. The record is from RNAcentral.
AAGUGCGAAGGAUACAAGGAAGCAUGUGGAGACAAGCGUAACAGCACACGUGCCGAUACAUCCAUUACUCUGUCAAAAGCAAAAGUAUCUCAUAUCAGCAGGGUGGAACGUACUCUAGAUUUGAUGGACUUGUUUUGACCCUCAAAUUCUUCAGUCGGCCUUAUACUCUGGAGGAAACCAGAAAACCCUCCAGCUCAGUUCAAGAAUAAGCCUGUGGGAAAGUUACUUCUUCAAAAGCAAAAGUAUCUCAUAUCAUCUCUUCUCAUUUUUCUUCUCUUUAUCCUUCAUGCUGCUGCAAGAUGGGGAGAAGGUGAACAAUCAGUCGGAGCUCUGAUUGCUUACCUUGUCUGUCACCUCUUUCAGCAGACCCCCUAGCUCGGCGACUUGGGGGACUCUUACUACAUGGUUUGUAUCGCGCUUGACCAAGCCUG